AAAUUUUGAUUUCUAGACAAUAAUAUAAUUUCUACAAUUCUGGUACUUGAUACACAAUCCCUAUAGGACGAUACUCUACUUAUCACUUUAUUAUUUGAACGAUUUUGUGCACUUGCGAAUUCGCUCAUCGUAUGUAUAAUCUUUAACUGGUUUUAAUUAUUUAUAUGUAUACCAUUAUGCAAUUUGCAGAAUAUCAUACUUAUCUUAAAGGUUGGAAUCAGUAAUGCAUAAUCAAUUGUUUCCUUCUAAUUAUUUUUUGGACAUGGUUGCGCCUUUUUCUUUUUCUUCUCAAUCUACAUUGUGGUGAUCGGAUAUAUUGUUUAAUGGUACUUUUAUUGUGUUUAAAAUGGUU
RNAcentral lists this long non-coding RNA (352 nucleotides) under Carica papaya (papaya). RNAcentral describes it as "long non-coding RNA (CPAP_LNC003920)". The record is from RNAcentral. Lineage: Eukaryota; Viridiplantae; Streptophyta; Magnoliopsida; Brassicales; Caricaceae.